This 253-nucleotide ribosomal RNA is filed under the name uncultured bacterium. Its description in RNAcentral is "partial 16S ribosomal RNA". It matches the Rfam family "Bacterial small subunit ribosomal RNA", at positions 524 to 776 of the family's 1533-position model. The record is from RNAcentral.
UACGUAGGGUGCAAGCGUUGUCCGGAAUUAUUGGGCGUAAAGAGCUCGUAGGCGGUUUGUCGCGUCUGCUGUGAAAUCUUGGGGCUUAACCCUGAGCUUGCAGUGGGUACGGGCAGACUAGAGUGCGGUAGGGGAGACUGGAAUUCCUGGUGUAGCGGUGAAAUGCGCAGAUAUCAGGAGGAACACCGGUGGCGAAGGCGGGUCUCUGGACAGUUCCUGACACUGAGGCACGAAGGCCAGGGGAGCAAACGGG